CGUUGGUGUUUUUAAAGUACCACUAUCCAACACCUGUUCGAAUUAUAAUCCUGAUUUUGAUUAUUCUUAUUCCACUUCCAAUCUAUCAAUCAUCUCAUUAUAUUUGGAAGAAGAACCCUUGAUUCCUUUUCACCUUCAUUUCUCUUCCAAAUCACCGUCGUUAAUUUGUUGUACUUAAUUUGGUGGCUAUAUUACAGACAUCAAUCGAGGAAGCUACAAAACAUGAUAGAGACAGAUCUGGUCUUUUAUUUUUACUAGAAAAGAUGCACGUUGAACUGGAGUAUUGUCUUCAGAUUAGCUAUGCAGCUGCAAUAAUAACAAGAAUCUUACAUCCACAUGUCUUUCAUUUUAGGCUCCUUCAUUUUAUGAUCUAUUAGAGGGUUUAGGGCGAAUAUGAAAUGCUGCAACUUUGCUUAGACAUAAUUGUGUGCUAUCAGGUAUUAGCUAAUAGUUAUUUCCCCCAAAAAAAAUUGUUUGUAUCUGAAUUUUCUGAACACAGUUGCAAUUCAUUUAACUCUUAUAAUCAUACAGUCAGUGAUGUCACCCUACAGCUGAGUUCUCUUCCAAAUGGAAUGAGGACUUCCUGGAUUAGUCAAGAAUGAUUGUUUCUACACAACCAUUUGUGCGUUCUCAAACAUAUGGAGACAGUGCCCAUAUACAUGUAGCUCUGCAUUUUCUUUUUGGACAAGGUCCAUCUUCUUAUGGAGUUCUACAUUUUCUUGAUGAACAAGAGAUCCCUACAAUGGCAUUAAUGGAAAUUGGUCAGAAUUUGUGGGAAAGCUUAGUCUAAUACAGCUAGAAAACCAGACUCCCAAUACCUUUUGGUGUAGUUCUUUGAUCUCAUUAGUCAAAAUAUGAUCCUACAGGGAAAUAAAUGACAGUGUAAUAGUCAUUAAUGUGCCGUAACAAAUACGUAAUGUUGAAUGGAUGAGAUUUGAAUGGAUCCUGCAUACCUUUUUCAUUCGAACACCCUUUAGACUAAUCUCCAGCUGGUUUUCCAGAUUUUGCAGUUCUUUAAUACCCAAACCAGCAAGUCCUUCACCCAUCAAUUGCCUGCUUUUACCGAAAAGAAAAUACAAAAAUACAUUUUCAUCUGAAAUGGAUGGCAAAACUUCCCUUUUUCUUUCCUUUUUAUGCCCCCUCACCCCAAAAUAAUGUACUACUCUUUUAGCAAAAAAGGGUCAUUAUUAACAUGUUAGGUUCAAUACUCCUAUUACAAUUAUGCAACUGUUAGGUGCUUAUUAUUUAUAUAUUUAUUUAUUUUACCUAUGGCUUUCUUGCAAGUACUGCAGUUGUUGUCUCAGGCUUGCUGCUUCUGUCUGCCAAAACUAGGAAGUAGAAAUACAAAUAUGAAAUAUGUUUAACAGUUAUUACUAAAGAAAAUGAUUUAAAAUGCAAUAGCUGUAAUGUAAAGAAUUCAAAGAACAACAUUAUGGACAAGAACCAACAAGAAGAGGAUUUUAACACAUCAUUGCUAAUAUGGUGAUUCGCCCAGAUCAUUUUGCUACUUUUAGUUUUAUUAUUCUGCUGGGGUAUUGUUUUACACUUCUGGAUUAGUUGAUUGGCAAUGAUUCCAUUUCCAUCAACAGGGCAAAGAGUUUUGAGGAGUUGUUAGAGAGACACAGAAGUGGGAGCAUGUAUGAUAGAUACUAUUUAUUGGUUGGCCUCACCUGUUUCAAAUGGCACCAUGGGAUAACUGUUUAUGUCGAAUCUACAUGUCUGCAUUCUGGUGUAUUCUAUAUGCAUUUUGUAUCUUUUCUAUGAAUGGUUUUAUAUCAUCUGUAGCACGCAUGAGCUCUUUUAAUUUGAAGCAUAGAGAAUCCAUGUGGUUUAAUUUGAAAUUUGAUUUGAUUUGGAUCUUCAUUUUUUUGGCUGAAUGGGAUCUUCAUGUUUUUAAAUAUAUAAGGGGACUUUGUUAGAGAUAUAAGUAAGGUGUCUUCUGUUAAACCAUGUAUUAUUUCUAACUUCUUUUUUUAUGGAAUAUAUGCUUUCUAACUACUUUUCAUUAAUUUGAGUAUAACAACCUACAUAAUUUUUUAACUUAACCUACAAACUAUCUUAUAACAUGAUAUUAUCUAAAAACCUAGUGCAGAAUAUCUACAAUGAAGCAUUUUAAAAUGGUUAUCUA
Molecule: long non-coding RNA, 2128 nt
Organism: Trifolium pratense (red clover)
Lineage: Eukaryota; Viridiplantae; Streptophyta; Magnoliopsida; Fabales; Fabaceae
Exons: 5
Source: RefSeq, a predicted model, not a curated record